This 465-nucleotide ribosomal RNA is filed under the name uncultured bacterium. Its description in RNAcentral is "partial 16S ribosomal RNA". It matches the Rfam family "Bacterial small subunit ribosomal RNA", at positions 338 to 795 of the family's 1533-position model. The record is from RNAcentral.
CCUACGUGAGGCAGCAGUGGGGAAUAUUGCGCAAUGGGCGAAAGCCUGACGCAGCGACGCCGCGUGAGGGAUGAAGGUCUUCGGAUCGUAAACCUCUGUCAGCAGGGAAGAACGGUCACUGUGCUAAUCAGCAGUGAAUUGACGGUACCUGCAAAGGAAGCACCGGCUAACUCCGUGCCAGCAGCCGCGGUAAUACGGAGGGUGCGAGCGUUAAUCGGAAUUACUGGGCGUAAAGCGCUCGUAGGCGGUAUGUCAAGUCAAGGGUGAAAUCCCCGCGCUCAACGUGGGAACUGCCUUUGAAACUGGCAAACUGGAGUAUGUGAGAGGAUAGUGGAAUUCCAGGUGUAGGAGUGAAAUCCGUAGACAUCUGGAGGAACAUCAGUGGCGAAGGCGACUAUCUGGCACAUAACUGACGCUGAGGAGCGAAAGCGUGGGUAGCAAACAGGAUUAGAUACCCGGGUAGUC